UUAUUUCCUGGGAUGCUCUGGUGACACUUUGGGAUCUGUAAUUACUUUCCAGGAUGUUCCAGUGUCACUUUUGGGAUCUGUAAUUAUUUUCCGGGGCGUUCUAGUGACUCUUUUGGGAUCUGUAAUCAUUUCCGGGACGCUCCAGGAGCUCCGGCUGCUCCUCCCGAGCGCAGCGCGACCUUCCCCUCUCUGAUUUUCCCAAAACCCCGGGAAUUUCAGCCCCCAAAUCCGGGAAUUUUAUGACCCAAACCCCAGGAAUUCUGGCUCCAAAAACCUUCUUUUUAUAUCUGCUAUAUAGCGACCCUAAUCAGCAGCCCCACCCCCUGCGUGGAGUCCCAGACCCCCAAAAUCCCAGAUUUCCCAAUCCCAAACCUCCUGUUUUUUUGGGGGAUGAUUUGCCCCCACUGAAUUUUGGGUGGGGAAAGGGGAUUUUUUGGGAUUGGGAGGUUGGAACAACGCCCCCGGCGCCGGCGGAACGCGAGGCCGCAAAUCGCGGGGGCGCUGAUCCCAUAAAACGCGGUGACGGGAGCAGCCGGAGCCGCCGGCGGUGAUUGAUGGCAGCGCCUCCCGGGGGGGGGGGGGGGGGGGGGGGGGGGGGGGGGGGGGGGGGGGGGGGGGGGGGGGGGGGGGGGGGGGGGGGGGGGGGGGGGGGGGGGGGGGGGGGGGGGGGGGGGGGGGGGGGGGGCCGCUCUUCCGAUCUGUCCAGCUGGGGCAGGGUCCCAUCCAUCACCUUCUUCCCAGUCCUUAACUGGGGCAGGGACUUCCCAAACUGCUUUCCCCUCGCCCUAAACUGGCCCAGGGCCCCACCUAUCAUCUUCCUCCCAGUUCCCAACUGGUCUGACUGGUACAGAGACCCUCCAGGCUCCUUCCCCCCAGUCCCAAACUGGGGCAGGGACCUCCCAGCCUCCUUCCCCCCAGUCCCAAAUUGGUCAGACUGGGACUUGAACCCUCCAGGCUGCUUCCCCCCAGUCCCAAACUGGGGCAGGGACCCUCCAGGCUCCUUCCCUCCAAUCCCAAACAUGGGAUGGGACAGGGCCCCAUCCAUCAGCUUCCUCCCAGUCCCCAACUGGGGCAGGGCUCCAUCCACCACCUUCGCCCGAACCUCAAACUGGGGCAGGGACCUCCCAGCCUCCUUCCCCCCAGUCCCAAAUUGGUCAGACUGGGACGGGGGGGGGGGGGGGGGGGGGGGGGGGGGGGGGGGGGGGGGGGGGGGGGGGGGGGGGGGGGGGGGGGGGGGG
This is a long non-coding RNA of Ficedula albicollis (Collared flycatcher), 1238 nucleotides long. Lineage: Eukaryota; Metazoa; Chordata; Aves; Passeriformes; Muscicapidae. The record is from Ensembl.